RNAcentral lists this ribosomal RNA (258 nucleotides) under uncultured bacterium. RNAcentral's name for it is "partial 16S ribosomal RNA". It matches the Rfam family "Bacterial small subunit ribosomal RNA", at positions 793 to 1050 of the family's 1533-position model. The record is from RNAcentral.
GUCCACGCCGUAAACGAUGUCUACUUGGAGGUUGUGGCCUUGAGCCGUGGCUUUCGGAGCUAACGCGUUAAGUAGACCGCCUGGGGAGUACGGUCGCAAGAUUAAAACUCAAAUGAAUUGACGGGGGCCCGCACAAGCGGUGGAGCAUGUGGUUUAAUUCGAUGCAACGCGAAGAACCUUACCUACUCUUGACAUCCAGAGAAGCCAGCGGAGACGCAGGUGUGCCUUCGGGAGCUCUGAGACAGGUGCUGCAUGGCU